RNAcentral lists this ribosomal RNA (460 nucleotides) under uncultured bacterium. RNAcentral's name for it is "partial 16S ribosomal RNA". It matches the Rfam family "Bacterial small subunit ribosomal RNA", at positions 338 to 795 of the family's 1533-position model. The record is from RNAcentral.
CCUACGGGUGGCAGCAGUGAGGAAUAUUGGUCAAUGGGCGCGAGCCUGAACCAGCCACGUAGCGUGAAGGAUGACUGCCCUCCGGGUUGUAAACUUCUUUUAUAAAGGAAUAAAGUGAGGCACGUGUGCCUUUUUGUAUGUAUUUUAUGAAUAAGGAUAGGCUAACUCAGUGCCAGCAGCCGCGGUACUACGGAGGAUCCGAGCGUUAUCCGGAUUUAGUGGGUUUAAAGGGAGGGUAGGUGGGUGGUUAAGUCAGUUGUGAAAGUUUGCGGCGCAACCGGAAAAUUGCAAUUGAUACUGGCGGCCUUGAGUGCAGUUGAGGUGGGCGGAAUUCGUGGUGUAGCGGUGAAAUGCGUAGAUAUCACGAAGAACUCCGAUUGCGAAGGCGGCCUACUAAACUGCCACUGACAUUGAUGCUCGAAAGUGUGGGUAGCAAACAGGAUUAGAUACCCGAGUAGUC